This 372-nucleotide ribosomal RNA is filed under the name uncultured organism. RNAcentral's name for it is "bacterial SSU rRNA". It matches the Rfam family "Bacterial small subunit ribosomal RNA", at positions 526 to 896 of the family's 1533-position model. The record is from RNAcentral.
CGAGUGCUCCAAGCGUUAUCCGGAAUCAUUGGGCGUAAAGGGUGCGUAGGCGGUCAUGUUAGUCCUGUGUUAAAUUCUUCGGCUUAACCGGGGGCUCGCGCGGGAGACGGCAUGACUCGAGGAUGGGAGAGGUGUGUGGAACUCAUAGUGUAGGGGUGAAAUCCGUUGAUAUUAUGGGGAACACCGAAUGCGAAGGCAGCACACUGGCCCACUCCUGACGCUGAAGCACGAAAGCGUGGGUAGCGAAUGGGAUUAGAUACCCCAGUAGUCCACGCCCUAAACGAUGUUCUCUUGGUUUACGGAGUAUCGACCCUCUGUGAGCCGAAGCUAACGCGAUAAGAGAACCGCCUGGGUAGUACGACCGCAAGGUUA